GGGAGUACGGCCGCAAGGCUAAAACUCAAGGGAAUUGACGGGGGCCCGCACAAGCGGCGGAGCAUGCGGAUUAAUUCGAUGCAACGCGAAGAACCUUACCAAGGCUUGACAUGAACCGGAAAGACCUGGAAACAGGUGCCCCGCUUGCGGUCGGUUUACAGGUGGUGCAUGGUUGUCGUCAGCUCGUGUCGUGAGAUGUUGGGUUAAGUCCCGCAACGAGCGCAACCCUCGUUCUAUGUUGCCAGCGCGUUAUGGCGGGGACUCAUAGGAGACUGCCGGGGUCAACUCGGAGGAAGGUGGGGACGACGUCAAAUCAUCAUGCCCCUUAUGUCUUGGGCUUCACGCAUGCUACAAUGGCCGGUACAAAGGGUUGCGAUACUGUGAGGUGGAGCUAAUCCCAAAAAGCCGGUCUCAGUUCGGAUUGGGGUCUGCAACUCGACCCCAUGAAGUCGGAGUCGCUAGUAAUCGCAGAUCAGCAACGCUGCGGUGAAUACGUUCCCGGGCCUUGUACACACCGCCCGUCAAGUCACGAAAGUUGGUAACACCCGAAGCCGGUGGCCUAACCCUUGUGGGGGGAGCCGCCGAAGGUGGGACCGGCGAUUGGGACUAAGUCGUAACAAGGUAGCCGUACCGGAAGGUGCGGCU
This 645-nucleotide ribosomal RNA is filed under the name Arthrobacter sp. TN134C. RNAcentral's name for it is "bacterial SSU rRNA". It matches the Rfam family "Bacterial small subunit ribosomal RNA", at positions 876 to 1519 of the family's 1533-position model. Lineage: Bacteria; Bacillati; Actinomycetota; Actinomycetes; Micrococcales; Micrococcaceae. The record is from RNAcentral.